Molecule: non-coding RNA, 66 nt
Filed under: Clostridiales bacterium
Lineage: Bacteria; Bacillati; Bacillota; Clostridia; Eubacteriales
Description: NiCo sequence
Rfam family: NiCo (Nickel/Cobalt) riboswitch aptamer
Source: RNAcentral
GCGAAAUUUACAGAACAGGCUUAAUCGCCGGGCCUCUUGGCAGCAGGAUUAUCCUGCGGGACUGAU